CAGUCGCCACGGGAAUACAGAGGGUGCGAGCGUUAAUCGGAUUUACUGGGCGUAAAGCGUGCGUAGGCGGCUUCUUAAGUCGGAUGUGAAAUCCCUGAGCUUAACUUAGGAAUUGCAUUCGAUACUGGGAAGCUAGAGUAUGGGAGAGGAUGGUAGAAUUCCAGGUGUAGCGGUGAAAUGCGUAGAGAUCUGGAGGAAUACCGAUGGCGAAGGCAGCCAUCUGGCCUAAUACUGACGCUGAGGUACGAAAGCAUGGGGAGCAAACAGGAUUAGAUAUCCCAGUAGUCCCUGUCUCUUAUAC
RNAcentral lists this ribosomal RNA (301 nucleotides) under uncultured bacterium. Its description in RNAcentral is "partial 16S ribosomal RNA". It matches the Rfam family "Bacterial small subunit ribosomal RNA", at positions 509 to 807 of the family's 1533-position model. The record is from RNAcentral.